Molecule: ribosomal RNA, 445 nt
Filed under: uncultured bacterium
Lineage: Bacteria
Description: SSU rRNA
Rfam family: Bacterial small subunit ribosomal RNA
Source: RNAcentral
AGAACGAACGCUGGCGGCAGGCCUCAAACAUGCAAGUCUAGGGGGCGUAGCAAUACGUCACCGGCGGACGGGUGCGUAACACGUGGGAAUGUACUUACUGGUUCGGAACAACUCAGGGAAACUUGAGCUAAUACCGAAUGUGCCCGAAAGGGGAAAGAUUUAUCGCCAGUAAAUCAGCCCGCGUCCGAUUAGCUAGUUGGUGGGGUAAAGGCCCACCAAGGCGACGAUCGGUAGCUGUUCUGAGAGGAAGAUCAGCCACACUGGGACUGAGACACGGCCCAGACUCCUACGGGAGGCAGCAGUUGGGAAUCUUGGACAAUGGGGGAAACCCUGAUCCAGCCAUGCCGCGUGAGUGAUGAAGGCCUUCGGGUUGUAAACUCUUUCGACGGGGACGAUAUGACGGUACCGUAGAAGAAGCUCCGGCUAACUUCGUGCCAGCAGCCGC